RNAcentral lists this ribosomal RNA (450 nucleotides) under uncultured bacterium. RNAcentral's name for it is "partial 16S ribosomal RNA". It matches the Rfam family "Bacterial small subunit ribosomal RNA", at positions 338 to 795 of the family's 1533-position model. The record is from RNAcentral.
CCUACGGGUGGCUGCAGUGAGGAAUAUUGGUCAAUGGGCGUAAGCCUGAACCAGCCAUCCCGCGUGCAGGAAGAAGGCGCUAUGCGUCGUAAACUGCUUUUCCAGGGGAAGAAAACCCGAUACGUGUAUCGGCUUGCCGGUACCCUGGGAAUAAGCAUCGGCUAACUCCGUGCCAGCAGCCGCGGUAAUACGGAGGAUGCGAGCGUUAUCCGGAUUUAUUGGGGUUAAGGGGGGCUUAGGCGGUAGCGUAGAAAACCUUCAGCUUAACUGGAGACUUGCCAUUGAUACUGUUAGUCUUGAGCACGGUCAAGGUAGGCGGAAUGUGUAAUGUAGCGGUGAAAUGCUUAGAUAUUACACAGAACACCGAUUGCGAAGGCAGCUUACUGGGCCAUUACUGACGCUGAUGCACGAAAGCGUGGGGAGCGAACAGGAUUAGAUACCCCGGUAGUC